CCCAUCGAUAGUUAUCCAUCACUAUCGUUAUAGCGUGUCAUUUUACGUGUUUGUUCUUAUAAAUCGUCUAAAAAUUGCAUCGGUCUUUGCUUCUCCGCUGUAAAAUCUUCAUAAGUUCCCACCCCAAUCGUUUGCGUUUAUGGCAAUGAAUAGUGAAAUGAUCUGCCGCACUUGCUUAAGUCUCAGUGGCCGAAAGGUCGCUACAGACGAGGACGGUAGCAGUGGAAAGUGUAUUGCCAACAUGUUGCAUGAUUUUACAAAAAGCAGACCAAAACGGGAAGACAAGCUGCCAUAAAAGUUUGCUUAUCAUGCAUUCGCGAGAUUGAGCGUUGCUACACGGUCAAGUUGAAAUGUGAGAAUUGCUGCAGUACACUGCGUCAGCUAAUACCUGAUACACUUCCUGUUGAACAGGAAUAUGGGAAACAGGAGACUGAUGAAUAUGGGGAACCGGACUAAAACCUGUGGAAGAUAAACUACAAACCUACUCUCUCAUGUAUUUGUUUAUGCAGUGUUUAUUUUUAUGGGUAUUAAAAAAAAAAGCUAAAAGAAAUUAGAAAAAAACAAUGCAUACAUUGCGAUAAAUUCUCUGUACCAAUACUGUUUUCCAUGGCAGAAAUACACUUCCCAUUACCUGCCGAAGAACAA
Rhagoletis pomonella (apple maggot) is the source of this 645-nucleotide long non-coding RNA. RefSeq lists it as uncharacterized. The transcript has 2 exons. The record is from RefSeq and is a predicted model, not a curated record. NCBI's taxonomy places the organism in Eukaryota, Metazoa, Arthropoda, Insecta, Diptera, Tephritidae.